AGCCCGGCUCAGGUUGGAGUCAGAUACCUCGUGGGUAAAUCCUUCUUUCUCCUUUUUAUUCUUUUUUUUUUUUUAAUCAGCUUUUUUCGCUUCUUUUUAUUUAUUUAUUUUUUUAAAAGAUUUUAUUUAUUUAUUUGACAGAGAGAUAGACAGAAGAGCACAAGCAGAGGGAGUGGCAGAGGGAGAGGGAGAAGCAGGCUCUGCACUGAGCAGGGAACCCGAUGCGGGACUCGAUCCCAGGACCCUGAGAUCAUGACCUGAGCCGAAGGCAGACGCUUAACCAUCUGAGCCACCCAGGCGCCCCUCUCCUUUUUAUUCUAUAAGCUCCCCUCCCCCAGAACCCAUGCGUGCAUGAGCACACGCACACACCCCCCCACCCCCCCCCCCAAAGCUCAGCUCCUGUUUUUAAUGGUCUUUUUUCUAAUUAAGAAUCUAAUUUUAAGAAUCCAGGAGAGGAGAGUCUUUUCUGAGCUAUGCAUUAUAAAAUCAUCUGUUGGCCAAUGUGGAUCAGAAAGUUCUAUUGUACUAGAACGUAGGAGCUGAAGUGGGACAUCAGGUGAGUGAGCUGAGGGGUGAGUCGGAGCCAACAAGACACAUUCACACUCAGGGGAAAUGAGGACUCGGAGCCUCCAGACUCUGCUUUCUUGUGACCAGAACAAGCAGGUGGGCGGGAAGGCAGAGGGUGGGGACACGCGUAUACAGGUGACGCUGGGGGUCAGGCUGGUGUCAGGUGUGGUGGUGAGAACAGCCUCACAUAAGGGCAGUGAGUGGGGUGUCGGGUGGAUGACCGAGUGAGGAAUUACAGAGAAGGACCAGGAUGGAAACUCACGAGGCACGUGGGAGUGCGGUGCCCCUGCCGCCCGCCACCGUGGAAGCUCCAGGCGUGGGACACGUGUUUGUGGACACCAUGGGCCUCCUGCCUGCCCUGUGCUUUCCUUUGCCACAGGAACACUGUGUGGUCAGGAGGUCAUGUUUUGAGAAGCAUUGUUCUAGAAUUUCAGAUUCUUGGCAUGAAAUGGUACCUGUAGAUCUAUAACGUUUAAUCUUCCUAUCUGUGGUUCUAACUACGUUCCCCUGCCCCGUAUGGAUCCAUCUUGCUGGACGUUGCUUGUCUUGCUGACCCUUUCAAACAGCCGGCUCUCGGCCUGAUUGUCCGGUCUGGAGUGGGUUUUCCCUGGGGGCGGGAAGAACGGAUGCAUUCGUGCCUGCACCUUUAUUAAUUCCUUGCUCUUUCUUUAUCCCUGUAGUUUGGGCUCAGUGCUUAGCUCAUGUAGUGUGCAUCUUUUUGUCUUGGAGUAGGUGUGAACUGACUGUUACCAGCCUGCCGUGUGCAAACGUGCACUUCUAUUUCCAGCCCCACUCAGACGCGCCUCUGACAAGCCCAUUCCCGCUUGGCAACAAGAAGACUAAAUUUAACUCAGCUUAACCGGAUAAACAGUUCCGUCGGGCAUUUUUCUCUAACAUGGCCCAGUUUAAAGCUUCGUCUCUCUCCGGCAGUGCGCGAGAGCUCCAAUUUCUCGUUAACACCUGCUGUUACCCGUCUUGACUCUGGCUCCUGGUGCGAAGUGGUGUCUCAUUGUGGUUUGGCUGGUCUGGUUCCCGUGAUGCCUGCACGCUGGGGUCUGACCCGUUGUGAGAACUGUUGGUGCCACAGGCCCCUUCUGCCCUGGUCGUGGAAGAACAGAGAGAAAGACACAGCGAGAGACGGAACACAAGCAGGGGGAGUGGGAGAGGGAGAAGCAGGCUCCCCGCCGAGCAGGGAGCCCGACGCAGGACUCGAUCCCGGGACUCCAGGAUCAUGACCCGAGCCGAAGGCAGUCGCCCAACCGACUGAGCCACCAGGCGCCCGACAGUUGUUUUUUUAAAUUGUCAUAGUUGGGAACCUAAGCAGCAUGAAGAUACGUGGGCUGCUGUGGUUUAGAGAUGCCCCACCCUCGCGUGGAUCGUGUGGAAGAAUCUACCUGCCCCUCCUCUUGCAAGGAGGUUGGGAGCCGCCCGGUUCACGGGGCCCAGCUGGUGGGGGGGGUCGCGGAGGCUUCUGAGUCAGUGGCAACUCCGCCCCUGGGGCCAGGGGAUGCCUUGAAGGAAACAGAGGAAGCUGGUUACUACCUUCCCUUUCCCCUCUCUCUAGGCCGGGGGUCAGCAACACGGCCUCCAAAUCCGCCUGUUUUCGUAAGUGAAGUUCAAGGGCACGCGGCCGUGCCCGUGCCCACGUGGUCUGUGGCUGCUUCAGAGCUCCGGUGGCGGAGGUGAGCAGGCGUCACCGACCCCAGCCAGCCCUCAGACUGUUGACCGUCUGGUCCUGCAGACAAGGUUGCCAACCGCUCGGGCCCCAUGCCCUCUGAAUCCUGAUGAGAUGGGAGAGGCCGGUGCACACGGGUUCACAUCUCAGAGAACUCGGUCUUCACGGACUCCCGACUGGACCGCAGGGAGCUCCCGGCACGGCCCGGUGAUCGUGUUUUCCCCUCUCAGGAAACCAUUUCACCAGGAGGCCCGAGAAUCACGGGCCGCACCCUCGAAAACAGGAAAGUCAUCUUCUUCCCUGUCUGGGCAGAAGGACGAGGACAGAGACCCACUGGAGGGCCUGGGCCCCGGGCAGAAGCUGCAGGAGGGACGAGGGGCUGCAGGAGGGAUGCGGGGAGGAGAGAGAAGCUCUGUCGGCACUCAGCAUCUCAGGGAGCUGGACUAAGCACAGAAGCUCGGGUUCAUCACCCUGGGACCCCAACGUCAGCCGAGGGCUGGGACGUACCGAGGCCUUCACUACUCAGUGGUGACAAGGGGCCACACGUGCCCAGGGGCCAUCUGUACCCGGGCCCGCAGACACCUGCUUCACAGGGUGGUGGGAUGCGGUGGAGGCCAGGCAGAGCAUCGCCGGUCAGCCCGCCCAGCGGUGGGGGUCCGGGCCGUUCCCCUGCAGAUACUCUUUCCCAGAGAAGACAGAGCCGGCUGCGCUGGGGGAUCCACGUAUUGCCCUCAGAGCCUCGGCCUUCCCCACGCGAGCCAGACCGUCCACUUGGGGAGGAGGCAGGGAAUCCACUCACUCCCAGAGGCUCCGAGCCCCCGGGAGCUGAGCGAGCCACCGUGGACCCUAGCUGGGGAAACGGUGCUGCGAUGAGGAGCCAGGUGGAAGCUGGGGUUUGUGUCUUGAAUUUUGCUGGAUGGAAGUGUCCUUACAGUGCAGAUCUUUCAUUUUACAGUGAGCUCUCUGAAUACAGAGUUGUUUUUAAUCACAGCAGAGGAAUAAACAGAAGCUGUAACUCCCUUUUUCAUCCCCAAGUGACUGAGGACCCUGAAUGGAGCCAGGCAUGGGGGAGAGGGCUGGGAGGGAGCUGGCCUUCAGCAUCCCAAAGUGAGGAGUCAGCGAGAGCCUGGAGGUGAGCAGGUAGCAGGUAGCAGGUGAGCGGGUGAGUGAGUGAGUGGGUGAGUGGGUGAGUGGGUG
Molecule: long non-coding RNA, 3439 nt
Organism: Mirounga angustirostris (Northern elephant seal)
Lineage: Eukaryota; Metazoa; Chordata; Mammalia; Carnivora; Phocidae
Exons: 3
Source: RefSeq, a predicted model, not a curated record